Mercenaria mercenaria is the source of this 637-nucleotide long non-coding RNA. RefSeq lists it as uncharacterized. The transcript has 2 exons. The record is from RefSeq and is a predicted model, not a curated record. NCBI's taxonomy places the organism in Eukaryota, Metazoa, Mollusca, Bivalvia, Venerida, Veneridae.
UUUACAUAUCAACUAUGAUGAACUACUGAGAAACAUCUGGCAUAUUGCUAUGACCUUAAACAAAAAAAGGAAUUCUCAAGGCAUGCCUACAUACCACAUGUUGGAAGAGUUUGUGGAAUGGCUGAAGGAAGAAAGAAUUUCCAGCCAGAAAAAUAAAAUUCUUUAUGAAUUUGUGAAUGGAAAUGAAACCCAAGGAACUAAUAUAUUUGCUUACCAUCCAGUUGAAAGUAUGCCAAUGGAAUAAAGUGCAACUGUCAAAGAAGUGCACAAAAUAAGGUCAUGUUUUCUGCAAAAGUUCACCAAGCUGAUUCAAACUACAAAUGGGAGUCAAGAAAAAAGUAAAACUAACUGAACUGCCACAGUUCAACUGUGAGAAAUGUUUGGUAAAAGUAUGUUUUGUUGUCAGAACAGCAGUGAAGUGGUUAGAGUAAAACUGUCUUCAUUGUUUAAGCAAUACAGAUUUUUUUUAAAAAACAUACUCCAUGCAUAAUAUAUCUUGAGUGCUCUUUUUUUAUUUAAAUAAUCAUACAGUUUCAAGAAAUUUGACAAUAAAUGCUAUCUUUAAUUUUAUAAGAAAAUAGUGCAUUGUUGCCAUGGUAUUAAACAUUAAUCUGACUAUAAAUUAUUGUAAAACAUC